RNAcentral lists this ribosomal RNA (253 nucleotides) under uncultured bacterium. RNAcentral describes it as "partial 16S ribosomal RNA". It matches the Rfam family "Bacterial small subunit ribosomal RNA", at positions 524 to 776 of the family's 1533-position model. The record is from RNAcentral.
UACGUAGGGUGCAAGCGUUGUUCGGAAUCACUGGGCGUAAAGGGCGUGUAGGCGGUCCGCUAAGUCUGAUGUGAAAGCCCGAGGCUUACCCUCGGAAGUGCAUUGGAGACUGGCGGACUGGAGUCCCGGAGAGGAGGGUGGAAUUCCUGGUGUAGCGGUGAAAUGCGUAGAUAUCAGGAGGAACACCGGUGGCGAAGGCGGCCCUCUGGACGGUGACUGACGCUGAGACGCGAAAGCGUGGGGAGCAAACAGG